This 252-nucleotide ribosomal RNA is filed under the name uncultured soil bacterium. RNAcentral describes it as "partial 16S ribosomal RNA". It matches the Rfam family "Bacterial small subunit ribosomal RNA", at positions 26 to 284 of the family's 1533-position model. The record is from RNAcentral.
AGAACGAACGCUGGCGGCAUGCUUAACACAUGCAAGUCGAACGAAUAAGAGCUCAAGCUUGCUUGAGAAUUCUGUUAGUGGCAUACGGGUGAGUAACGCGUGGGAAUCUACCCAAUAGUACGGGAAUAACAGUUGGAAACGACUGCUAAUACCGUAUACGCUCCGAGGAGGAAAGAUUUAUCGCUAUUGGAUGAGCCCGCGUUUAGAUUAGGUAGUUGGUGAGGUAAUGGACUCACCAAGCCUACGAUCUAU